GUUAAAAUUUUGUAUUUACUCUUUUUUUUUUCAGUCGAAAAAACUUGGGUUCUCCGUCUCCGGUUCUCCCCCUUCUUCUCCGCCCGAACCCGCGUUUGGGGAACGCCACCAAAUUCCAGCUGCUCGCCUCCCCGCGCGGCCGUUGCUCGCGAAUUGCGAUCUCCCGCGCGGCCGUGGACGAUUUCGGGCUGGGGGCGCCUGGGCGGCGGCGGGAGGCUAGGGUUAGGGGCGGCGGGAGCGGGGAGGUACUGGCCCUCCCCCCCGCUCGUGUCAGGACGGCUGCGCUAGGGUUAGCUCCGGAGGCGCCGGAUUGGCCGCCGCGGAGGGCGGUUGCAGCGGCAGGUGGGGUGCCGGGCGCCGUCGGAGGCAGGAAGAUGACGGAAUUUUCUUCUAAUCCUGUCCUAGAAUUUGAAAUUUGAAGAAGCUGACAAUGUAGCAGAAUGCUAUCCUUAGGGUUGGAUAAGGAAGGCAGGCAAAAACUGUGACAGAAAUGGUUUGUAGUAUUCAGAAUCUGGUAAUUACUGAAUUCUACUCUACCAACAAGGCCAGCGAUCAUCUUUCUACCUUGGGGGUGUCAUGUAUAGUUGUGCUCUAAUGCGUGUGUUGUUGUACAUGUUCCACAUCAUGUUCUGUUGGUCUCACUCACCUGAUUGAUGAUGUUAGGGCCAAUGGGGAACCUCCUUGCUGAAGACUGCUUUCUCUUGUGAUUUUAUCAUUUUCAGGCAAAGAUAAUUUACAAUUAAUAAGAUAAUCAAUAUUGACCUUUACGCCUUGUCAGAUUAUGGGAUGGUUGAUCCAGGAUUUAUUUCUCAGGAUGAAAUUGAUCAUUGCUUUUGUAAAGCAUGUUGGCAACAGCCUUCUGUUAAAUGCUCAAAGAAGCAUCAAUAAUUAAUGUAGAUCCAGUUUUUGACUAAGUCCUUUCUGAGUGAAUUUUGAACAGUUUUAUGAUCCCUCAUGUACUAUUUUGGUGUAGCGGUUGUUCAUGAUUUGUUGGUUAUCAAGGUUAUGUAGCUAAAAUUGAUAACUUCAUUCUGAAAAUGCAACUUGAAAUAAUGGUUAAUCACCUCACUAAUUGGAUCAAGUUUGCAUACGACAUUAUGAAAGGAAUGUACUUAUGAGUAGUACUUUUAUGAUUUCUUAUGGCUUGUUAUCCAUGUAGAACUGCCAAGAAAACAACUGUCAUUCUAAUCUACAUGUAAUGCUGUUUGGUAUUCAUUGGUGUCUCAUAUAUAUAUAUUUUAAUAAUGCUGCUUGUCUCAGUUUUGAAUGCCAUGCAAUUGACUAUUAGGUCCUUGCCUCUGCCCCCCCCCCCCCUCCUUUUCCCUGUCUUUUGCAGUUUAACCCUGGAGUGUAUUUCCUGUGCCCAUAGUGUAUUGAGUUUUCGUAGCAUGUGUUUCUGUCUUGGCCCUUGGGGCCUGCAUGAGGAGGUGGCUUGUAACUCUUCCUCCCUUUAAUGUGGCAGAGCUCCUGUCGCUUUCACUAAUAAGAAAACCUUGACAACAGAGAUGGAAAUCAGGUUUGGAGAUUCUGCUUCUUUUGUCUAACUGUGAUAACAAAGAAUGUAGUCUUCUAAGUAGUCCAUUAUCUUCCUUUCUUUUCUCUAUUUUUUGAAAUGAUAUUUUUCUAUCAUUUCUGUAUUCAUCUUCUUUAAUGUGUAUACUCUUUUUAUAUAUAAUGACCGAUGCACAAAUUGUGACACCUUUUUACCACAGGCGCCACUGGGUCAGAGAGAAAGAUUUGGCUAAAGCAUUAAAGAUUCACUCUAAGCAGCUACAUCACAUUCUCUAGUUAUUUUGAAGAAAACUAGUGAGAAAAUCUCAUUGAAAGGAGGAUAUGCCACCACUGCCAAUGUGAUCUAUGCUCUUUUCUACAUAGCCCAUUGUUAUUCCUAUUAACAUGUUCCUGGAAUAUGCAUGUUUCCUUAAACAUCUGAUUAUCUAUGUGUGCAUCGUGGGAUUUUCAUUAUUUCUUUGUGAUGGCUGUUGUAUUGGGCUUUAUAGAUAUCAUUUGGGUCAUACAACUCAUGUAUAGCCAUUUUCUUACAUAUAUGAAGUUUGCUCUGUUUUUCUAUGUACUAAAAAAAUUAGCCAUCUGUUUAUAGUACUUUGAUUAGUUGGAUCA
This is a non-coding RNA of Oryza sativa Japonica Group (Japanese rice), 2121 nucleotides long. NCBI's taxonomy places the organism in Eukaryota, Viridiplantae, Streptophyta, Magnoliopsida, Poales, Poaceae. The record is from RefSeq and is a predicted model, not a curated record.